Molecule: ribosomal RNA, 911 nt
Filed under: uncultured Bacteroidota bacterium
Lineage: Bacteria; Pseudomonadati; Bacteroidota
Description: bacterial SSU rRNA
Rfam family: Bacterial small subunit ribosomal RNA
Source: RNAcentral
UGAUUCUGGCUCAGGAUGAACGCUAGCUACAGGCUUAACACAUGCAAGUCGAGGGGAAACGACAUCAAAAGCUUGCUUUUGAUGGGCGUCGACCGGCGCACGGGUGAGUAACGCGUAUCCAACCUGCCCACCACUUGGGGAUAACCCUGCGAAAGUAAGACUAAUACCCAAUGAUAUCCCACGAAGGCAUCCGAAUGGGAUUAAAGAUUUAUCGGUGAUGGAUGGGGAUGCGUCUGAUUAGCUUGUUGGCGGGGUAACGGCCCACCAAGGCUACGAUCAGUAGGGGUUCUGAGAGGAAGGUCCCCCACAUUGGAACUGAGGCACGGUCCAAACUCCUACGGGAGGCAGCAGUGAGGAAUAUUGGUCAAUGGGCGAGAGCCUGAACCAGCCAAGUAGCGUGCAGGAUGACGGCCCUAUGGGUUGUAAACUGCUUUUAUAAGGGAAUAAAGUGAGUCUCGUGAGACUUUUUGCAUGUACCUUAUGAAUAAGGACCGGCUAAUUCCGUGCCAGCAGCCGCGGUAAUACGGAAGGUCCGGGCGUUAUCCGGAUUUAUUGGGUUUAAAGGGAGCGUAGGCCGGAGAUAAGCGUGUUGUGAAACGUAGUGGCUCAACCUCUGCACUGUAGCGCGAACUGGUCUUCUUGAGUACGCACAACGUGGGCGGAAUUCGUGGUGUAGCGGUGAAAUGCUUAGAUAUCACGAAGAACUCCGAUUGCGAAGGCAGCUCACGGGAGCGCAACUGACGCUGAAGCUCGAAAGUGCGGGUAUCGAACAGGAUUAGAUACCCUGUAGUCCGCACGGUAAACGAUGGAUGCCCGCUGUUGGCCUGAAUAGGUCAGCGGCCAAGCGGAAGCAUUAAGCAUCCCACCUGGGGAGUACGGCGGCAACGGUGCAACUCAAAUGAAUUGACGGA